This 431-nucleotide long non-coding RNA is filed under the name Mytilus galloprovincialis (Mediterranean mussel). The record is from RNAcentral. Lineage: Eukaryota; Metazoa; Mollusca; Bivalvia; Mytilida; Mytilidae.
AUUUCAUUGUUGCAUCAUACACAUUUUGCAAGUAAUGAAGAUUGGCUUUAGAAUACAAAUUGACUUCAAACUACAUUUUUCAUAAGUUUUCAAAAAUAUACUUCUGUUUUCAAUGACAAAUUUCUAACUAAAAUUGUAUGUGCGAACUAAGGUAUUUGGAACAAAUUAUUUGAAGAAAGGGUAAUCAUACCAAGAUAAAACAGAAACCAAUGAUGAAGGUAAAAUAAAUGUUGGUGACCGAAAUGCAACCAACAAUCUAAAGCUGUUUGUCUCGGUUGUAAUUCAUGUAAGAGCCAUAAAACAAUUAACUUUUAUUUUUGAACGUUACAGUAAUGUUUUUAGUCUGAAGUAAAACCUAUCUGCACUAGUGACAAUGCCGAAUAGUAAGUUAUUUACUGAAACUGUCAUACUUCUAUUUUCAUCAUUUUUUC